CUAAUAAUGCCAACAAUGGAUGCCUUGGAGAUUUUGACCGAGGAAGGACGUAGACGGCGACGAUACUCGUUGGGGAGGUGCCAUCAACCUUUGAUCCAGCGGUUUCCGAAUGGGGAAACCUACUUGUCUUUGACAAGUGCCCAAAUGUGAAGUUAAUUCCGUAAGGAGUUAUAUUAGUGUUUGGGUGGGCACGGCGUGAACUGAAACAUCUUAGUAACGCCAGGAAUAUAAAUCAUAUGAGAUUCCGUCAGUAGCGGUGAGCGAAAGCGGAACAGUCUAAACCACGUUAAGUGGGGUUGCAGGGCAGACGACAUCCGAUGUAAUUGUGAUAGUAGAAAGGUCCGGAAUGGCCUUCCAAAGAGAGUGAAAGACUCGUAUACGAAAUUACAAUUACCGGUAGUUUGUACCUAAGUACCAUGAAGCACGAUAAACUUUGUGGGAAUCCGGGACGACCACGUUCCAAGACUAAAUAUCAAAAUCUACCGAUAGUGAACUAGUACCGUGAGGGAAAGGUGAAAAGCACCCCGGGAGGGGGAUGAAAUAGAACUGAAAUUGUUGGCUAACAAGCAGACAGAGCUCCAAUUUAUUGGGGUAAUGUCGUGCCUAUUGAAGAAUGAGCCGGUGAGUUUAUGAUUGCUGCAUAGUUUAACCAACGACGUUGGGAAGACAAAGUGAAAGCGAGCCCUAACUGGGCUACCAUAGUAGCAGUCACUAAACCCGAAACCGGGUGAGCUAACCUUGAGCAGGUUGAGUCUCGAGUAAUAUCGAGAGGAGGACCGAACUCGUAUCCGUAGCAAUGGGUUGAGAUGACUUGAGGUUAGGGGCAAUAUGCCAAACGAACCCGGAGAUAGCUGGUUCUCCCCGAAAUAUAUUAAGGUAUAGCGCUGGUUAUAACACAGGGGGUAGAGCACUGAAUGGAUUAUGGGGGGGCAACUUCUCGUAUCCAAACAAACUCCGAAUACCUGUACUUUUAUUCCAGUAGUCAGACUUGUCGGGCUAAGCUGAUGAGUCGAAAGGGAAACAGCCCAGACUCCCAAUUAAGGCCUCUAAAUAGAAGCUAAGUUUUUAAGGAAGUCAUGGUCCAGAGACACCCAGGAGGUUGGCUUAGAAGCAGCCACCCUUUAAAGAUAGCGUAACAGCUCACUGGCGGAUGGAUUGUGGCGCCGAAAAUGUAUCGAGGAUUAAGUUUCUUGCCGAAAUUGGAGAUUCUAUGACAAUUUAUUGUUAUAGUCUGGUAGGGGAGCGUUCUGUUUGCGGUGAAGUUGAACUGUAAAGUUUGGUGGAGCGGACAGAAGUGAGAAUGCCGGCAUGAGUAGCGCAAUGCAGAUGAGAUAUCUGCACACCGAAAGCCCAAGGUUUCCUCCGCAAUGUAAAUCAGCGGAGGGUGAGUCGGCCCUAAGGUCCUUCCUCGUUAAAGGGGAUUAGACCGAUGGAUGAGUCGUUAACAUUCGACUACAAUCUAUACGUAUUGUAAGGUGGUGACGGAGUUGGAAGACUCGAGCCCGUUACGGCGGGUCUAAGCAGUUAGACAGAGAUAAUCGGCAAAUCCGUUAUCUUGUUUAUUCGAGCUGCGAUGGAAAGUAUCCCAGCAAUGGGAGACGAUUCGAUCUUUUUCAGUUUCCAGGAAAAGCCUCAUUAUACUUGUCGCAAGAUAAGUAAAACGUAUAUAUUACCGUACCGUAAUCCGACACAGGUGGGCAGGUCGAGUAGACUAAGGUGAUCGGGAGACAUAUGAUUAAGGAACUCGGCAAAAAAGCUAGGCGUAACCUAUGGGAGAUGCCUCGCCAGUACAUUUCGUACUGGCCACAGCAAAAGUUUACUUUGCAACUGUUUAUCUAAAACACAGGUCCCUGCAAAACCGAAAGGUAACGUAUAGGGGCUGACACCUGCCCAGUGCUGGUAAGUUAAAAAUCUCGGGUGAAGUUCGUAAGAAUCAGCCUAGGAUUUAAGCUCCAGUAAACGGCAGCAGUAACUAUAACUGUUCUAUGGUAGCGAAAUUCCUUGUCGGGUAAGUUCCGACCCGCACGAAAGGUAGAAUGACAAAGUAACUGUCUUAAUCAUAUACCCGGCGAAAUUGAGAUGGCUGUGAAGACGCGGCCUAGGUAUACAUGGACAAAAAGACCCCGGGAGCUUUACUGUAGCUUGGCAUUUGCAAGCUUACUCUAAUUAUUUAGCAUAGGAGGGAGAUUCGUCAUCAGUGAAAUACCUCUUUUUGGAAUGAGUGAGCAUAACUCCGACCCGCAUAAAAAUACGGGCGGGGGACAGUGUCUGGUGGGCAGUUUUACUGGGGAGGUAGGCUCCUACAACGCAACGGAGCCGCACAAAGGUUGGCUAACUCCGGAUGGAAAUCGGAGUGAUAGCGCAAAAGCAUAAGCCAGCUUGACUGCGAGACCCACAAGUCGAGCAGGUACGAAAGUAGGUUUUAGUGAUCCUGUGAUGCAUAGUGGUAUGCGCACAGCUUAACGGAUAAAAGCUACCCCGGGGAUAACAGGCUGAUCGCAUCCAAGCGUCCACAGCGACGAUGCGGUUUGGCACCUUAACUACACAUUGGGGCGCCCAGAGAGAGAUCUCUGAAGCUUGAUUAUUCAAAAACGUACGAUAGAGGUACGUGUGAAUAAAAAAUACUAGCUAAAAUCGGUGAACGCCAUUAACGCGAACAAUUAAUGGUCAAUACCGAGGGAAGCCUUCUUCGCGAAGCGAAGAACUGUGAACCAAGAACACAGAACGUAGAACUAUAAGGAAUUCCUUACGGUUUUUUGUUCAAAGUUCUCAGUUCAUAGUUGCCGAAAGGCAUGGCCCCGUAUCGACUUUCCCGUAUACAGCGGGAAGAGGUGAGUUCUAUCCUGAGUUAAUCAAAGGAUAAAUUUAUAACUUACCUAAAAGGCUAGCUCCUUUUACCAAAAAGGAUGAAGGUAUAGUCAGUGCACAUGGCAACAUGUGAUUCGACAGCGAUGUCGGCUCAUCACAUCCUGGGGCUGGAGAAGGUCCCAAGGGUCCGGCUGUUCGCCGGUUAAAGUGGUACGCGAGCUGGGUUCAGAACGGCGUGAGCCAGUUCGGUCUCUAUCCUGUAUACCCGUUUGAAAUUUGAGGAAGUUUGUCCCUAGUACGAGAGGACUGGGAUGAGGGAAUCCCUGGUGUGCCGGUUGUUUCAUGAAAGUGAGCACUGCCGGAUAGCUAGAUUCCCAUCGGAUAACCGCUGAAAGCAUCUAAGUGGGAAACCGUUUCCAAGAUAAGAUUUCGAUGGAUCGAAAGAUCUGAAAGACCCCUAGGAGACUACUAGGUUGAUAGGAGAGCAAUGGAAGCGCAGCAAUGUGUUAAGUUUACUCUUACUAAUGGUCGAUCGG
RNAcentral lists this ribosomal RNA (3344 nucleotides) under Candidatus Levyibacteriota bacterium. RNAcentral's name for it is "23S ribosomal RNA". It matches the Rfam family "Bacterial large subunit ribosomal RNA". The record is from RNAcentral. Lineage: Bacteria; Candidatus Levyibacteriota.